Molecule: ribosomal RNA, 253 nt
Filed under: uncultured prokaryote
Description: partial 16S ribosomal RNA
Rfam family: Bacterial small subunit ribosomal RNA
Source: RNAcentral
GACGAACCGUCCAAACGUUAUUCGGAAUCACUGGGCUUACAGAGUUCGUAGGCGGUCUGGAAAGUUGGGUGUGAAAUCCCCGGGCUCAACCCGGGAACUGCGUCCGAUACUGGAAGGCUUGAAUCCGGGAGAGGGAUGCGGAAUUCCAGGUGUAGCGGUGAAAUGCGUAGAUAUCUGGAGGAACACCGGUGGCGAAGGCGGCAUCCUGGACCGGCAUUGACGCUGAGGCGCGAAAGCCAGGGGAGCAAACGGG